This 496-nucleotide ribosomal RNA is filed under the name Fusarium sp. BS-8. Its description in RNAcentral is "eukaryotic LSU rRNA". The stretch from base 151 to 304 matches the Rfam family "5.8S ribosomal RNA". The record is from RNAcentral. Lineage: Eukaryota; Fungi; Ascomycota; Sordariomycetes; Hypocreales; Nectriaceae.
GUGUCAUCGGCUUCGCUCCCAACCCCUGUGACAUACCUAUACGUUGCCUCGGCGGAUCAGCCCGCGCCCCGUAAAACGGGACGGCCCGCCCGAGGACCCCUAAACUCUGUUUUUAGUGGAACUUCUGAGUAAAACAAACAAAUAAAUCAAAACUUUCAACAACGGAUCUCUUGGUUCUGGCAUCGAUGAAGAACGCAGCAAAAUGCGAUAAGUAAUGUGAAUUGCAGAAUUCAGUGAAUCAUCGAAUCUUUGAACGCACAUUGCGCCCGCCAGUAUUCUGGCGGGCAUGCCUGUUCGAGCGUCAUUUCAACCCUCAAACACAACUUGGUGUUGGGAAUUUCGGUAAUUUGGUUUCUUCAAAUCAAUUGGCGGUCAAAUCAAGAUUUUAUAGGGUAUUAAUCGUACCCCUCCUUACUGGUAAGCGUCGCGGUCACGCCCUAAAGCCCCAACUUCGGAAUGUUGACGGGGGAUCGGGUAGGAAUACCCGCUGAACUUA